Molecule: Y RNA, 102 nt
Filed under: Callithrix jacchus (white-tufted-ear marmoset)
Lineage: Eukaryota; Metazoa; Chordata; Mammalia; Primates; Cebidae
Description: Y RNA (ENSCJAG00000074127.1)
Rfam family: Y RNA
About the family: Y RNAs are components of the Ro ribonucleoprotein particle (Ro RNP), in association with Ro60 and La proteins. The Y RNAs and Ro60 and La proteins are well conserved, but the function of the Ro RNP is not known.
Source: Rfam by way of RNAcentral
GGUUAGUCCGAGUACAUUGGUGUUUACAACUAAUUGAUCACAACCAGUUACAGAUUUCUUUGUUCCUUCUCCACUCCCACUGCUUCACUUGACUAGCCUUAA